UGGCGGACGGGUGAGUAAUGUCUGGGAAACUGCCUGAUGGAGGGGGAUAACUACUGGAAACGGUAGCUAAUACCGCAUAACGUCGCAAGACCAAAGAGGGGGACCUUAGGGCCUCUUGCCAUCGGAUGUGCCCAGAUGGGAUUAGCUAGUAGGUGGGUAAAGGCUCACCUAGGCGACGAUCCCUAGCUGGUCUGAGAGGAUGACCAGCCACACUGGAACUGAGACACGGUCCAG
Molecule: ribosomal RNA, 234 nt
Filed under: uncultured bacterium
Lineage: Bacteria
Description: partial 16S ribosomal RNA
Rfam family: Bacterial small subunit ribosomal RNA
Source: RNAcentral